AUGUCGAUUCCAUUCUCCAAUACCCACUACUGAAUUCUGCAAGGAUUUGGGAGUCUUCUUAAAGAGCUGACCCACGAGAUUCUGAGAGAGCAACCAGAUAAUAUACAGCUUUUGCAGCAGCAUAUUUUGACAGCUUUCCAGAGAAAAGAGAGAAAACCACUUUUGAUCCAGCAGAAUGGGGGACUCAGGUAGAAGACUGCUUCUAGAACAGUCAUGCAUUCGAGGAGCAAGAACCACCUGAGAAAUGUGAUCCUAAACAAGAAAACUCUCCAAUAUCUGGGAAGGAGAAAGAGACACCAGUCACCAUCUUAGACUCUUCUGAGGAAGAUAAGGAAAAAGAAGAGGUUGCUGCUGUCAAAAUCCAGGCUGCCUUCUGGGGACACACAGCCAGAGAGGAGGUAAAGAGAAUGGAAACAGAUAGUCUCCGACAUGAGGAAACAGAGGAAUACAAG
RNAcentral lists this long non-coding RNA (452 nucleotides) under Homo sapiens (human). RNAcentral's name for it is "non-protein coding lnc-ZNF503-1:8". The record is from RNAcentral. Lineage: Eukaryota; Metazoa; Chordata; Mammalia; Primates; Hominidae.